RNAcentral lists this ribosomal RNA (429 nucleotides) under Gemmatimonadota bacterium. RNAcentral's name for it is "Gemmatimonadetes bacterium partial 16S ribosomal RNA". It matches the Rfam family "Bacterial small subunit ribosomal RNA", at positions 355 to 776 of the family's 1533-position model. Lineage: Bacteria; Pseudomonadati; Gemmatimonadota. The record is from RNAcentral.
UAGGGAAUCUUCGGCAAUGGACGAAAGUCUGACCGAGCAACGCCGCGUGAGUGAAGAAGGUUUUCGGAUCGUAAAACUCUGUUGUUAGAGAAGAACAAGGACGUUAGUAACUGAACGUCCCCUGACGGUAUCUAACCAGAAAGCCACGGCUAACUACGUGCCAGCAGCCGCGGUAAUACGUAGGUGGCAAGCGUUGUCCGGAUUUAUUGGGCGUAAAGCGAGCGCAGGCGGUUUCUUAAGUCUGAUGUGAAAGCCCCCGGCUCAACCGGGGAGGGUGAUUGGAAACUGGGAGAGUUGAGUGCAGAAGAGGAGAGUGGAAUUCCAUGUGUAGCGGUGAAAUGCGUAGUUAUAUGGAGGAACACCAGUGGCGAAGGCGGCUCUCUGGUCUGUAACUGACGCUGAGGCUCGAAAGCGUGGGGAGCAAACAGG